UUCCACCCAGUGAAAAGUCGCCGACUGUGGCGGCCUGCCUGAAGAGUCAUCUUCAGGCUAGCUGGGUGGUUUUAC
Molecule: non-coding RNA, 75 nt
Filed under: unclassified sequences
Description: DUF3800-IX RNA
Rfam family: DUF3800-IX RNA
About the family: Actinobacteria, Firmicutes (1 example), Nitrospirae, Proteobacteria, Verrucomicrobia (1 example).
Source: Rfam by way of RNAcentral